Molecule: ribosomal RNA, 253 nt
Filed under: uncultured bacterium
Lineage: Bacteria
Description: partial 16S ribosomal RNA
Rfam family: Bacterial small subunit ribosomal RNA
Source: RNAcentral
UACGUAGGGGGCAAGCGUUGUCCGGAUUUAUUGGGCGUAAAGAGCGUGUAGGCGGUUAGGUAGGUCCGUUGUGAAAACUCGAGGCUCAACCUCGAGACGCCGAUGGAAACCAUCUGACUAGAGUCCGGAAGAGGAGAGUGGAAUUCCCGGUGUAGCGGUGAAAUGCGCAGAUAUCGGGAAGAACACCCGUGGCGAAGGCGGCUCUCUGGGACGGUACUGACGCUGAGACGCGAAAGCGUGGGGAGCGAACAGG